Otolemur garnettii (small-eared galago) is the source of this 134-nucleotide small nuclear RNA. The record is from Ensembl. NCBI's taxonomy places the organism in Eukaryota, Metazoa, Chordata, Mammalia, Primates, Galagidae.
AAAGAGGGCUUCUGUUGUGAGUAGCACAUGUGGGGCAACUCAACUGCUCUUCAUGUGGAAGCGACAUCAAGACAUUUCAAAAGUAUAAUUUUUUGGUAUCUGGGCAGUUGGUGAUCAUUGAUCCUGGUGUCUGU